GUAAAGAGGAAGAAUCAUGUCGGGUUGAGCCUUCAGAGCAGGCCGACCCGCAUGGAGUAAUACGUGUUGGGCUUAGGCCCAUUUGGCCUUCUGUCCAUUCUACUGCUACACCACAACUACACAAGACUAAGACUAGCUCCAAGGGGUUCCGUCGCGCGUGCCGUUCCCUUCGCGAUGGGAAAAAGAGGGCGACGGGAACCAAACUCCAGCCCUAACGCCUUCCCGUCACGAGCCGGGGCGGGACGGGAUAGGAGAGCCCGUGGGAACCUCUCUCCUAUCCCAUCACGGUUUCGCCAAGCGGGGCGGGGGCUGGCGGUUGCGCUUGGGCGGAAGAGGCAGAAGACGCCACCUCUCAGCUUUAGCCGCCACCUCCUCUCCUCACUUUCCUGCCCAGAGCACGAACCUCAUCGGCUGGAUUCCUCUCCUAUCUCUUUGUUUCCCAUUAGCUGAGCCAUCCUCUCGAGUUCCUUCUGUUGCUAGCACUAUGGGGUAAUAAUUUUGUGGGAUUCGAUUCGGGGAACGGAGAGGAGAAGCCAGAUCGAUUUGUAGAAGGACAGAUCGAGGUGGGAGAACAGCUGAUCGAGUUGGGACAGGGCGAUAUGAGUUCAAAGAACAGCCGAUUGAGACCUAAUUCUGUUCAGAUAUAAGAACUUGUGUUCUCAGGAAGGAGCAGAAACUGUGAUUUAGUUCAAUAAGUGUAGCAAUCGAUUGUAUUUUUUUCCCUGAUGUGUUAGGUAUUCAUCGAUCAUGUAUUAUCCAUUUUGCUACUUAGGCGUUGUUUCUUGAUUGUUCAUCUAUUUUAGAAAUGCACAUGUUCAGACAAGUUCAGAGAUGCACAUUGUUCAUUUAUAAUUUUUGCUACUUUGAUGACUCUCCAGUAGAAAGUUCAGAAUGUUCAGAAUUUCAGUUAUUUCAUAAUAAUGAUUUCAUCGUUUGAUUUGUUAAACCUUGUCUGACAAGCAUGUUGCUGUACGAAGUAACUAGAUUUGUGUGUAUGAUACUUUUGACAACAGAUGCAAAUUUUUGCAUGUGCUUUGCGUGUGAUGAACUAAUAGUGGACGCUUUGACAACAGAUAGAAAGCAAACUGGGAUUGCUAUUUUGCAGGGUACCACGCUUGCAGAGAAACUAGUGGAGGAUGAGAGCCAGAUGGAUUCUUAGUUGUCCCCUUGUCUUUUGCAUCUCAAUGCGACUGGCUCCACAAAAUCACAAAAAGUUUUCCAUCUCAGAGCACACUAUAAUAGAUUAAUUGGCUUCUGAUUGCUACGUCUUUCAGCUUUGAUUAUCUACCCUGAGCCCAUAUUGUUGCUUACAGCCGGCUUUUACUUUCAUUACAUUUUUUAAGCUCCCAGAAUUAGGACUAUUUAUUUGUUUCUUUCCAGUUUCCACCCCUGUAUAAGUUUACAUCAUAUCGUAAAUUAGUAAUACUCUUUGAUCUCAGCUAAUUUGUUGGUACUGUGUUUCAGGCAUAUACUGUACAAGUUCAGCCGCUGAAGCCUUGGCUUGACCAGUGCAGAGGAAUCCCAGGUUGAGUACUUUCGAGAAGCAGCUCUCAAGAAAGAGUUUAGGUUUUGCGCAAUCUCGUGUGGAAUCUCUGUUGUUUUUAUAGUCGAACUUUUUGGGAAAUAUUUUGUAGGAUGAAUUAGUGCAGCAUCAACAAAGAAGCCAUCUAGCUGCCGUGUAUAUGUUCAAAAGCCAAAAGGCGAUAUAUACAAAGUUUUAAAUCUUCUGAGUA
This is a long non-coding RNA of Phragmites australis (common reed), 1733 nucleotides long. RefSeq lists it as uncharacterized. NCBI's taxonomy places the organism in Eukaryota, Viridiplantae, Streptophyta, Magnoliopsida, Poales, Poaceae. The transcript has 2 exons. The record is from RefSeq and is a predicted model, not a curated record.